RNAcentral lists this ribosomal RNA (472 nucleotides) under uncultured bacterium. RNAcentral describes it as "SSU rRNA". It matches the Rfam family "Bacterial small subunit ribosomal RNA", at positions 26 to 523 of the family's 1533-position model. The record is from RNAcentral.
AGAGCGAACGCUGGCGGCAUGCUUAACACAUGCAAGUCGCACGGGCAGGGGCAACUCUGUCAGUGGCGGACGGGUGAGUAACGCGUAGGUAUCUAUCCUUGGGUGGGGGACAACUGUGGGAAACUACAGCUAAUACCGCAUGAUGACCGAGGUCUAAAGGCGUCCGGGGUAACCUGGUGCGUCGCCUGAGGAGGAGCCUGCGUACGAUUAGCUAGUUGGUGGGGUAAAGGCCUACCAAGGCGACGAUCGUUAGCUGGUCUGAGAGGAUGAUCAGCCACAUUGGGACUGAGACACGGCCCAAACUCCUACGGGAGGCAGCAGUGGGGAAUAUUGGACAAUGGGCGCAAGCCUGAUCCAGCAAUGCCGCGUGUGUGAAGAAGGUCUUCGGAUUGUAAAGCACUUUCGACGGGGACGAUGAUGACGGUACCCGUAGAAGAAGCCCCGGCUAACUUCGUGCCAGCAGCCGCGGUAA